Molecule: ribosomal RNA, 415 nt
Filed under: uncultured bacterium
Lineage: Bacteria
Description: bacterial SSU rRNA
Rfam family: Bacterial small subunit ribosomal RNA
Source: RNAcentral
GGACCUGCACAACCAGUGGAGCAUGUGGUUUAAUUCGAGACGAACCGAAGAACCUUACCUGGGUUUGACAUCCCGAUGACCGUUCUAGAGAUAGUUCUUUCCAAUAUUUUAUUGGACAUCGGUGACAGGUGCUGCAUGGCUGUCGUCAGCUCGUGCCGUAGGGUGUUCCCUUCAGUGGGGUAACGAGCGCAACCCCUGCCGUAUGUUAAAUGUUCAUACGGGACUAACCGGUUUAUCCGGUAGGAAGUGGGGAUGACGUCAAGUCAGCAUGGCCCUUAUAUCCAGGGCUACACACAUGCUACAAUGGGGCCGACAGAGGGUUGCCAAGUGGUAACACGGAGCUAAUCCCAAAAACGGCCUCUCAGUGGGGAUUGAGGGCUGCAAUUCGCCCUCAUGAACGAGGAAUUGGUAGUAA